This 69-nucleotide transfer RNA is filed under the name Ictidomys tridecemlineatus (thirteen-lined ground squirrel). RNAcentral describes it as "Spermophilus tridecemlineatus (thirteen-lined ground squirrel) tRNA". It matches the Rfam family "tRNA". From Rfam's summary of the family: Transfer RNA (tRNA) molecules are approximately 80 nucleotides in length. Their secondary structure includes four short double-helical elements and three loops (D, anti-codon, and T loops). Further hydrogen bonds mediate the characteristic L-shaped molecular structure. tRNAs have two regions of fundamental functional importance: the anti-codon, which is responsible for specific mRNA codon recognition, and the 3' end, to which the tRNAs corresponding amino acid is attached (by aminoacyl-tRNA synthetases). tRNAs cope with the degeneracy of the genetic code in two manners: having more than one tRNA (with a specific anti-codon) for a particular amino acid; and 'wobble' base-pairing, i.e. permitting non-standard base-pairing at the 3rd anti-codon position. Lineage: Eukaryota; Metazoa; Chordata; Mammalia; Rodentia; Sciuridae. The record is from Rfam by way of RNAcentral.
GGAGUUGUAGCUCAGUGGUAGAGCAUUUGCCUUGCAAGUAAGAGACAACUGGGUUUGAUCCUAGCACCA